UGGGGAAUAUUGCGCAAUGGGGGGAACCCUGACGCAGCCAUGCCGCGUGAAUGAAGAAGGCCUUAGGGUUGUAAAGUUCUUUCGGUAUUGAGGAAGGUUGAUGUGUUAAUAGCACAUCAAAUUGACGUUAAAUACAGAAGAAGCACCGGCUAACUCCGUGCCAGCAGCCGCGGUAAUACGGAGGGUGCGAGCGUUAAUCGGAAUAACUGGGCGUAAAGGGCACGCAGGCGGUUAUUUAAGUGAGGUGUGAAAGCCCUGGGCUUAACCUGGGAAUUGCAUUUCAGACUGGGUAACUAGAGUACUUUAGGGAGGGGUAGAAUUCCACGUGUAGCGGUGAAAUGCGUAGAGAUGUGGAGGAAUACCGAAGGCGAAGGCAGCCCCUUGGGAAUGUACUGACGCUCAUGUGCGAAAGCGUGGGGAGCAAACAGGAUUAGAUACCCUGGUAGUCCACGCUGUAAACGCUGUCGAUUNGGGGGUUGGGGUUUAACUCUGGCGCCCGUAGCUAACGUGNNNNAUCGACCGCCUGGGGAGUANGGCCGCAAGGU
Molecule: ribosomal RNA, 545 nt
Filed under: uncultured bacterium
Lineage: Bacteria
Description: bacterial SSU rRNA
Rfam family: Bacterial small subunit ribosomal RNA
Source: RNAcentral